GUCCUCUUGAAUAAUUUAUUUGAGGUCUGGUCUGCUCACUGAGAAUUUUAAAGAGCCGCGGUAUUUUGACUGUGCGAAGGUAGCAUAAUCAUUAGUCUCUUAAUUAGGGGCUGGUAUGAAUGGCUUGACGAGAAAUCAACUGUCUCUUGAUAAAAUCUAGAAUUUAACUUUUAAGUUAAAAGGCUUAAAUUUUUAUUUAGGACGAGAAGACCCUAUAGAGCUUGACAUCUUUAUUUUAUAUAUUUUUUAGUUAAUUUUUUUAUAUAGAGUUUAUAUGUUUAGUUGGGGUGACUUGAAAAAUAAAUAAACUUUUCAUUAUAAAAUCAUUUAUUUAUGUAUUAAAAUUGAUCCACAAUUUGUGAUUAUGAGAUUAAGUUACCUUAGGGAUAACAGCGUAAUUGUUUUUGAGAGCUCAUAUCGACAAAGCAGAUUGCGACCUCGAUGUUGGAUUAAGAAAAAUAUUGGGUGCAGGAAUUCAAUAAUUAGGUCUGUUCGACCUUUAAAUUCUU
This 509-nucleotide ribosomal RNA is filed under the name Adelotettix sp. PKF-2004. RNAcentral describes it as "partial 16S ribosomal RNA". It matches the Rfam family "Archaeal large subunit ribosomal RNA", at positions 1911 to 2666 of the family's 2987-position model. Lineage: Eukaryota; Metazoa; Arthropoda; Insecta; Orthoptera; Acrididae. The record is from RNAcentral.